RNAcentral lists this unclassified non-coding RNA (11387 nucleotides) under Rhagoletis pomonella (apple maggot). RNAcentral describes it as "zinc finger protein 2, transcript variant X10". The record is from RNAcentral. Lineage: Eukaryota; Metazoa; Arthropoda; Insecta; Diptera; Tephritidae.
UAUGUGCAUUUCCAUGCACAUGUACGAAGGUCUGCUUUCGCUGCCGAUAAACUCUUAGUGGAUACAUCUGAGGAAGGCUGCGCAAAACUAUCUCGCAUUGGCCAAUUAAUGCAAAGGCACAAAGCAUUGAGCGUAAAUUUAUCAUGCGCAUUCAAAUGGAAUCAUGUUAGAUAUGCCGACGACUGUGUAACUAAUAUAGUUUUCUGCAAUUACAAAGUUAAGCAGCGAUACACGCUGAGUUCCCUUCCACCUAUUACUAGUGUGCCCGUAAUAUGUCACACUUUUCCCAGCGACCGAUAGAAAACAAGUCAAGCACAACAACGAAAAUAUUAGCAAACGCACAGAUAACAAAAGCUAAGACGAAAACUACAGCAACCACGGCCACUUCAUCGAAAGCUAAGACUUCAACUUCGGAGAAAAUAAAAAUUGGGGGCACAGCAAAAGAAUCAGUUACUAUCACAAUAACAUCUUGCAAAAAACCUUCAUCGAAAUCGUUGCAGCCAACAGAAUUAGUUUCCUCGUCGGUAUCAUUGGAACCAAAACAAAUAUUGCCCGCAGAAAAAGAAGAAGCAGCUACUCAUAUUUUUUGCCCACAACAUCAUCAGCUGACCAAGCCUUCGACAUUUAUAGAUCGGAAACAUCGGCGCAAACACAAAAAUCCACGAUCCUGCUCAUCAGAUACUGAGAAAAUUGAGACGGAUGACAGCAAACCAAUGUUAAAGACAGAUGUCGAAGUUUUCCAAGGAAAAAUCGUUUUUAAUUUAGAUGGUAAUGCCUUCAUAAUUGCCACGGAAAACUCAACGCAGGAUUUAAUAGCGAGUGCAAAAACCACAGCAGGUUCAUCGUUAGUAACGACAAAUGAGGUUGGAAGGAAGAUAACCGCACCAUCAAAUUCAACAUCAGCUACGACAAAGUCAACAAACAAAACAUCGACCACUUCGGCAACUUCAAAGGAAGUCUCAAGCAGUCGAGAUGAUGAACAUAAGACUACACCAAAAAGCACCAACAUUCUAAAAACCACCGCAAGCCCUCGUAUACAUUCUUUUCGCAUAGUGAGUGCUCAGUAUGCCUCAGCCGCCGUUGUUGCUACCACUACCGCCACCACCAUCAAAAGCACCACCGACGAGCAAACGGAAUUCGGGACAUAUGUUGACCAACAACCACAAAAGCCACAGCAUCGACGUCGACAUAGCAACAGCAGCGAUACCGAUAACGACAACGAUAGUGACAGGACCAACGGGUACAAUAUAGUGCAGCGCUCUUCCAAAAUACAAAAACCGAUAUUGAUGUGCUUUAUAUGCAAACUAUCUUUUGGGAAUACUAAAUCAUUUAGCUCGCAUGCUAGCUCAGAGCACCAACUGACUCUGCAACCAAAAGAACAGCAUUUACUAAACCGCGAAUAUUCGAGUGCUAUCAUUCAGCCUCCAAAUAUGGACGAGAGUCCACAAAUAUCAUUCCUUGAGCCAAUUGAUAUGCUCAAUGUUAUAAAAAGUGACGAUUUAAAUACUGAGACUGAUGUUCAAUUCAACGAGGGUACAACCCAGGCAGUGACUUUCGGAUCGAAUGCUAGAGAGGUUUCGGAGAGAUCGGUUGUUGAACGAAUAAUGAGCGAAAAGGCUGACGACGCGGCGGCGACAACGGACACAAAAUCAUCAAUUAGACCAUUAACUUCUGGUUCAACAUCGCCAUCAACGUCUGCGCCAAUGUCUCCCGACCUAUCGUUGUCAUCAAUAGCGUCGCCUAAGUCCUUGCGGACCGCGCCUACGGCCGCAGCGCCACCAGCAGCAUCACCUUCACAAAUCACAUCCACACUUGAGUUACCCAGCGCUAUUGAUAGUAGCAACAAUAGUCAUUUACUGAUUAAAACCUCCCUUUCCAACAUCCAACAACAACGAUACGAAGCAGUUGCUUUCGUCACCGAGGCAUCAGCAAUGACAACGCCUACAUUAUCAAGCCAACUGGCAGAAAGCACCAAGCUUAAUACCAUUGAGCAGCAGUCGCGGCGGCAACAACAACAACAGCAAACAACAAUCAUUACUAAUAGAUUAAAGGAAAAUGCAGCUGUAGAAAUGAAAGAUAUUGAUGACUCCAAAGCGAAAUUAACUGCAUUUUCGCCGUCCUUGACUUCAUCGGCAGGCGAGAAAUCAUUAUCAUCCACAACAUUGUCUUCAUCAAUACUACCAAAGAAUGAGUCAGAAAAGUCAUCAAAUACUGAAACAAAAUAUGGUACAUACUCAUUAGCUACAUCACAAGCUGUAUUAGGAUCAAGCUCUGAUUGUGCAUUAAAGCCAAGAAUAACCGUAUGCGUAACACCUACAACAGCGUCUACCGCGAACAAUAACUCCGAUCUGUUGAGUAACCCAGGGAGCAGAAGCCUUCAAGGUGCAAAUGCUUCGGACUGUCAUAGCCCGCCACUGACUGCAGUGACGAAAGUUGAGGCUGAAAAUACAGAAAUGGGUGCUGCGCCCACCAGUGCCUCCGGGUUCCAGCACAUGCAGUUGCAGUGCGACACGGACUCGGACAGAAAGCUAGACCGAGCCGAUACCCUAUCGCGGCUUUCAGCUGAUGCAGUCAAUUUCCUGCAGCAGCAGCAACAGCAACAGCAGUAUUCGGCAAUGAGCAGCAGCACCUUUGCCACCCCGCCAACCUCUCUAAUGUCCAUGACACACACACACAGUAAUCUCAGCUGCUUGCACUCCUCUUUAGUGGCUUUAACUGAUGGUACUUCGGCCAUCUGUAGCUCUACAGAGGCUCAAAAAACCAAUGCAAAGUUAAUCAGCGACUUUUUACAACAGCAUAUCAGCUUACAGCAGCAGUACGCUGCAGUCAGCGGCAGCUGUGCAGAACAUACAGACUAUAAGGAUAACGACUGCAAAAAUUGCGAAAUGCAACAACUUAAAUCUCCCCCGUUCCACAACUCCAGCCAGCAGCAUGUGAUAACCAGCACCAAUACAACACCGCAACGGUCACCAACACGCAGCAACAGUAGCUGCACAAGCACCAAUAUACAGUCACCAGCGAAUUUAACUACAUCGCCGAACACCACAGCUGUCUCAGCAGCAGCGGUGGCGGCGGCGGCGCAACAACAAAACGCAGCUGCUGCUGUAGCUGUGGCUGCCGCUGCAGCGGCAGCCGCGGCUGCAUCCGUAGCCAGCAACACAUCCAGUUUUACUAUAGGCGCUUGCUCGGAUCACAUCAACGGACGACCAUUGGGCGUAGAAUGCACACGUUGCGAGAUGAUACUGAGUUCGACACGACUCAAUACUGGUGUUCAGAUGUCAACUCGAAACUCUUGCAAGACCCUGAAGUGCCCGCAAUGUAAUUGGCACUACAAGUAUCAGGAGACACUCGAGAUUCACAUGCGCGAAAAACAUCCGGACGGUGAAAGUGCUUGUGGUUACUGUUUAUCUGGUCAGCAACAUCCGCGCCUGGCUCGUGGUGAGUCUUAUUCAUGUGGGUAUAAACCGUAUCGGUGUGAAAUUUGUAACUAUUCGACAACGACCAAAGGGAAUCUCUCCAUUCACAUGCAAUCGGACAAGCAUUUGAACAAUAUGCAAGAGUUGAACAGCUCACAAAAUAUGUUGGCGGCCGCGGUGGCCGUAGCCAGCAGUGGGAAGACGGAUGUCGCAUCGAAAUUGUUGCUAACCAACAAUAUUGCAGCUGCUCAACAGCAGCAGCAAUCACAAGCACAGCAAACGCUAACACAGUCCCAGCCCCAGCAGCCACAAUCGUCGAUUGGCUGCAACUCGGCAAUCGUGGGCAGCGGAGGGUCAUCUGGGAAUGGUAGUGGGCGUAAUAGUGUCGAUGCAUCUGGAAAUGCUUGUGGUAUCCUCAAUAAAAGUAAGCCGUCCUUUCGUUGUGACAUUUGCAGUUACGAAACAUCAGUGGCUCGAAACCUACGCAUACACAUGACCAGUGAGAAGCACACCCACAACAUGGCUGCCCUGCAAAACAAUAUCAAGCAUAUUCAAGCGUACAGCUUCUUACAACAGCACCAGCAGGCUGUUGCUGCUGCCGCUGCUCAACAACAGCACCAGCAACUAACGGCAGCAUCCCAGGCUGCUUCCCAAUUGCCAGCUCUGGGCAGCGGGUUAGCCAGCGGCUUUAUACCGGAAAUAGCUUUGGCCGACUUGGCAUAUAACCAGGCACUCAUGAUACAAUUGCUGCAGCACAAUGCCGCAGCCGUUAGCCAGCAACAGUCGCAACAGCAACAACCUCAUGAAUCUGUGACCAAGCUAAAGACUUCGCCGACCUCCUCUCCGCGUCCCAUGCAAGUUGAGCAGUCAACAACUCUGCCACAACAACAACAAUUGCAACAGCAACAACAAAUUCAACAAUUGCGUCAACAGUUGCAGCAAUCGUAUUCCCCGAACAGCGGUUCGCCCACACUGUUGCUGUCUACGGAUCCUUUUACUACCAGCGAUAUAAAUUUGUCUUCCAGUGUUAGUGGCGGCUGCAGCGGCGAUGAAACGCUGGAGCCACCUGUCCGCGCCGAUCCUUGCCCCACAAGUCUUUACACUUGCUUAGUGUGUGAUUUCUUCUCCUCGAAUAGUUUAGACGAGCUUAAUCAGCAUUUAUUGAUUGAUCGCUCGCGAAAUAACUCCAUGACAACAAACGCGAGCAUCGCCGCUAGUGGCAGUAGUAGUAAUGUCAACAGUUCUGUCAACACAGAUAUAAUGGUCAUUUUAAACAAUAACUACAUAUGCCGCCUAUGUAACUACAAAACAAAUCUGAAGGCAAACUUUCAGCUACAUAGUAAAACGGAUAAACAUCUUCAAAAACUGAAUUAUAUCAAUCACAUACGUGAAGGUGGGCCCCAAAACGAGUAUAAACUUAAAUAUCUGCAGCUUGCUGCUAACACGGUGCAGCUAAAAUGUAAUUGCUGUGAUUUUUAUACGAAUUCCAUCCAGAAGCUUUCAUUACACACGCAGCAAAUGCGACACGAAACGAUGCGUAUGAUCUUCCAACAUUUAUUGCACAUCAUGCAACAUAAUAACUUUGAAAAGACCAAAAUACAACAGCAUUCAAAGUCUGCGGGUGAAACCGUUAGCAGCAUACGCGAGCCACACGGCGGCAACAUUGCGCGCGACAAUACUACUGGGGACACUCAAGGCAGUGCUAAUACAGCAACGGACAUGGCAAAAACAACCGAAAAGUCAUUGACAUGCCAGUUGUGCAACUACAGCGCGUUUACUCUACUAAAUAUGAUCCAACAUGUAAAAAGUCUUCGUCAUAUGCAAGUAGAGCAAUUUGUGAGUCUCCAACGUCGCAGCGAACAACUGGACCCACCUAGCCUAGAUGACGUCUUCAAGGUAGUUGAACAACCUAUAUUGCAAGCAUUGCCACUUUCCGCAGCUGCUUCUCCAGAAGAUAAUAAAAUGGAAAAUAUCAGGUCGGUCUCGGUCGCUGACUAUUUCCCUGUUCCUACGACGCGCUUAACGAAUGAGGACACCGGUUAUAAUACACCUGGGAUAGAUCACAACUCUUUCUCACCUUCAUCAAAUUCCUCGGUUGCAUCAGGAAAUACAAGUGUACGUAGCAAAGGGUAUCAACGGGUUAAUACACCAAAUUUCCAAUCGUCAAUUGGUGAUAGGUAUUUACAAGCAACCUCAUUGGGUUCAACAACUAGUGCUGCGAGCAUACCAUCAGUCGUAUUUAAAUGCAACAACUGCGAUUUGUUUGCACAAUCUAAAGAUGAGAUGGAAAUACACCUUGGCACAGUUCAUCCACAAACGGAGCCAGACUACAUCAGCAUUCCAACGAAUUCUGCGGCAAUGCAAGCAUUUCAAGCGGCGGUUGCAGCAGCUACAGCUGCGGCGGCAUCUGCUGUAACAGCUACACGCUCUGAAUGUAAAUCCAAUUUAGAAACUGAUACUGUCGAUGAUGAUUGCCCUACGUCAAUCAAACGAGAACGUUUAUUUUCGCCAGUAGACGAGGAAUUAGAAAAAGGCACUGAUAUGAGCAGUACAAUGACACUAAAAGAUACAUCAACAAUUGAUCCCUGGAUAACUACAACAAUGAAUGAGAAUACAUCAUCGCCAUCCAUGAAUGAAUCUGGGCCAGGAAGUCAUAAUGUUAUGAGUGGUGAGCUUGUAGAAACUGAGGAGGAAGAAUUACAUCCACAUUCAUCACUACUCAAAAGCGUUGAGCAUGGAGCUAGUGAUGUGGAGGACAAUAGCCAGGUUGGCCAAACAAGCCCAAAACACAGCGUUCAGUGUCCAUUGUGCACUGAUAUUUUUGGCCGCAAGCAAGCGCUGGAAUCACAUUUGAUGAAUGUACACAGUGUAAAUCGUGAUGGCUUAGCUCGGCUCCUACAGCUGGUAGAUGCCAGCGUUUGGAAGCAAUUCCCCACAAAACCAGGAAGCAUUUAUGAUGCUAAAAGUACCAAGCCUGCUACCGGUACGUAUACCCCCAAUGACCCAAAUAUAAAAAGCUCUACAGAAUUGAGCACAUCGGCGAUGGGGAUUUCUAACAGUGCAGCUAUAAAUCUAAAUAAAUCUAAUCCCACGACGUACGCUCAAUCACUGGAAACUGGAAAUAGCAGUGAAUUAUCAUGUGAACAGUGUUCUUCCCAAUUUAAACAUGAACAGCAAUUGUUGCAGCAUGCACAGAAAACUCAACAUUUUGUUCUCUUGCCAAAUGGAGAUCACCGCUGUUUGGCAGCUAGUCAUCCCAGCCGGCCUUGCCACUCGACAUUUCCCUCACAAACUGCAAUGAUCGCACAUUAUAAGAACACGCACAUAAGCUUAGUUAUAUCGGAACGACAUGUAUACAAAUACCGUUGCAAACACUGCUCACUUGCGUUCAAAACCCAAGAAAAGUUGUCCACACACUUGUUAUAUCACACAAUGCGCGAUGCUACCAAAUGUACAUUGUGCCAACGAAAUUUUCGCAGUACGCAAGCGCUACAAAAGCAUAUGGAUCAGACUCAUCACACUAGCAGCGACCAAAAUACCCCCAGUUCCAGUUCACCGACGUUUUCAAGCUGCAGUGGCCGUGGCUCACCAUCCCAGCAGUCCAGCCAUGGGAAAACCUGUACCCACACAGCUGAUCUCUUGCCAGAGAACGCAGUCAAAAUUAGUGACACUGAAGAACGUCAGUCGCCGCCAGGGUCUCCGCAAGUCAAGGAGGUUAUCGAAUCGAAAAUUUCGAAUACAUCAUCGCAAGUAUCGUCUUCCCCAUUAGGAGCUCACUUAUUACAAGAACAGCAGCAGCAGCAAGAACAGGUUGCUGCCAUCACCGCGGCACUAUUAAAUCAGUCAACACAACAACAGGCUCAACCACAUUUCAGUGGCGAUGAGUUAUCAGCAAUUACACCAACUCAUCUAAUGCAACAUAUGCAAAUAAAGCCCUGCGGUUCGCUUUUGACGCAAAAGUAUAUUCAACAACACCACCAAAGCUUACAAAACCUUCAGCAACUCCAACAGUUGCCGCAACUGACAGCCACUGCAGCAUCCUCUGGUUUGCAAUUGAACCCUGUCGAAAUGCUGAAUCUCAUGCAGUUCCACCAUAUAAUGUCCAUGAAUUUCAUGAAUCUUGCUCCACCGCUCAUUUUUGGGGUCGGCGCUAAUGCUGGCGUUGGCAGCAAUUCUGACCUGAUUACGUCUCCACACACACCUAAAGUUUCUCAUACAUCCAAUCCCAGUUCACUGCUCUGUGGAAGCGAUUUGACUGUACCUGCCACCCCAGUACCAGUUGGUCCAACACCGGAUAAUGUUGGUACAAUAUCACAGCAGCAACAACCGCAACAACAACAGCAAGCUGUAGCAACAACUACAUCACAGAUGGUGAGUAAUCAAAAACGUGCACGGACCCGUAUCACCGACGAUCAGUUAAAAAUUUUGCGCGCCCACUUCGACAUCAACAAUUCUCCAAGUGAAGAAAGCAUAAUGGAAAUGUCACAAAAAGCGAAUUUACCAAUGAAGGUUGUCAAGCAUUGGUUUCGGAACACGCUAUUUAAGGAACGCCAGCGAAACAAAGAUUCUCCCUAUAACUUCAACAAUCCACCAUCUACAACAUUAAACCUGGAAGAGUACGAGCGUACUGGGCAAGCCAAAGUGACACCUUUGAAUGAAGACCUUCAUCUGACUUCGUUGAAUCUUUCGCAACAACAACGGGAACAGGAUAAGCAUAGGCUUCUUGAACAUAAGCUCCAGGAUGCCAAAAAUGAACCCAACACUGAUGCUUUUCCCAGCAAAAGUGGCCAUUCUCCGAUAUUAAUAGAUAUUAAAACUGAACCGUUUGAUGAGAAUGUUGAACAUCACAGCACAGUCGCUGAUAAUUCACCCUCUCAACAACAACAAAAACAGCAGCGACAAGGUAAUCAAGAUAAGCACUUGUUAAAUACGGCAUCGACAUUGCUUUUGCAUCAGCGACAACAACGAAUAUCAACAUUGACAGCAGCUGAGCACCAACACCAGCAAGUUACAGAAAUGCAGGAGCAUACAACAGUUGGAGCAGCUGUUGCAUCCAUGUUGCAGCAACAACAUUUACAAUCGCAGUCAAAUCAAAGCGCACACCAGCAGCAACAACAACAGCAUAUCAACCUCUAUAGCUACGAAACGAAAUCAGAAAGCGGCAGCUCGGAUAUACUUUCAAGACCACAGUCACCAAACAGCACUUCUACGGCUCCCACGCAUUAUGCAAGCAUUAAUGAAAUAUUGAAUCAACAAUUGGACAAUUUGCCACUCAGCCAAAAACUUACCAGUAUGAAUGUUGCGAACUUGCACGGAAACAAUAUGGGUCCACCAAAAAAUUUCCAAACUAACAAGUCGUUCGAAAAGAACUCACCAUCUUCACAAUUUGACACGAACUCGAAUUCUUCGAAUGCAUCGUCCACGUCCAGCGGAAAGCGAGCAAAUCGAACACGUUUCACGGACUAUCAAAUCAAGGUACUACAGGAAUUCUUUGAGAAUAACUCCUAUCCAAAGGAUAGUGAUUUGGAGUAUUUAAGCAAGCUAUUGUUGCUUUCCCCACGGGUUAUUGUUGUCUGGUUUCAGAACGCCCGUCAAAAGCAGCGAAAGAUUUAUGAGAAUCAACCAAAUAACUCACUUUACGAAACAGAGGAGAAAAAACACAAUAUAAACUACGCGUGCAAGAAGUGCAAUCUUGCAUUCCAGCGAUAUUACGAAUUAAUACGUCACCAAAAGAAUCAUUGUUUCAAAGAAGAAAAUAACAAAAAGUCGGCGAAGGCGCAAAUAGCCGCUGCACAGAUUGCACAAAAUCUAAGUUCCGAAGACUCAAAUUCCUCCAUGGACAUAAAUAGUGGCAAUACGAUUGCCCUGUUGCAGCAUCAGCACGUAGCUGCCGUUACGUCGUCACAUGGUUUAACAAGUGGCGCCAACAUUUCUAGUAAUUCACCGGACGCAUCAUCCUCUGGAUUAAAUGUGCUUCACAACACAUCGCCGCAGCAUUUGUUUGGUAAAUCUUCGAUGUCUAUUACCGACUUCAGUCCAUCUACUACUCCAACACCGCCGCAAUCGCAACGAGAACGGACCGAUUGCACUGAGCUUCAGUCCCAGGUCCAAGUUGACAAAUCUAAAUUCGAAUGCGACAAAUGUAAGAUACAAUUUGGGUUCUACGAACAUUUCCGCGAACAUCAGCUGCUUCAUUUGAUGAAUCCCGGCUUGUUUACAUCCCAGAUUCCGAACAUUCCAGACGCAUACGGCUCAUUUGGCAGCAUAUUUCAAAGUUUGCAACAGGUGGCAGCAGCAAAUGCAACACAUCAGCAACAACAGCAAUUGCUGCAACAACAGGGCCAACCGCCGGCGAAAAAGCGCAAAUGCUCCGAAACUUCAUCAAUAGGGGAUGACAUGUCAUCGAUUGGCGGAACCGGGGAUACCGACAUCAAUCCUGUGUCAUCAUCCCUCUCAACAGCAAAAAAAUUUGAUUUUUUAUACCAGUAUUUCAUGCAAAACGAGAGCAACAAUGAGCUAAAGCAACAAUUUCAAUCGCAACAUCAGCAAUCACACGAACCAGAGCUGGAAAUGGAGUUCCUUGCAAAUUUUUAUCACCAAUCCGAGGUGCGAAAACGAAGUAACUAUGAUUUUUUAUAUGAGUACUAUCAAAAGCAUGAACGUAAGCAGCUGGGGACCAUGCAACAUAUCGCAGGCGCUUUCGGGACGGAGAAUAAACCUCACAUUGAUUUUCUCUUGCAAUACUAUCAACUGAACGAAUCGAAAAAGUUUUUUCAGUUAGAUGCCUCGAACCCACAAAUAAAUGACCACACGGCAGCGUCGCCAACAUCGACAAAACAAUACCAGCGCACAAAUAAUAUAUCUUUAAACAGAGAUAAUACAACCACGCCUAAGGCAGACUGCAGCAUGUCAGAUUCCAGCUUAACAAAAAACUCUAUGGAUGCCCUUAGUAGCAAUAUUGAGCCGUCAGAUGCCGAUGAUGGCAACAAUGAUAACGACAGAAAUAGUAAUGGCGGUAUGGAUGUUGACGACGCUGAUAGUAGUGCUGAUACAGAUAAUAAUGAUGACAAUAAUGAUGAAAAUAGCUUUUGCGCUAGACGACUACAUACGGCAAAAAGCAACGUUAAAAUAAGCAAACAAACUGAUCUCUCGGAUAACAGCACAAAGAAUAUUUCCACCGAUCAAAAACUCUUAACGAAUCUACCUUUCGCCUAUAAUGACGAUCAACAUCUCAAGGAUGUAAGUAAGGCCAGAGGAGCUUACGUAAAAAACCAGAGGCAUAACCAUGCAAAGCGUAACUCAUCGUCUCUAUCACCUCAAUCACAAUUGCCACUAACAGCAAAGGCAGCAGCCACUGUUACAGCUAGCUGUAAUUCCGGUUUAUAUAUGCACAACUUGAAGGAAUUUCUCGAUGAAACACCCACACACGCCCAAACUUGUAACGAAAUACUAGCACAAACGGAUACUGAUGGCAGUAGCGGAUGCACAGCAAUAUAUAAAAUGCAAUCAUCUGAAACGUCAUCGUCGUCGCCAAAUUCAAAUACCAAUAACAUUUCUGCUGCUGGCCCGACAGCGUCUGUAGCAUCCAAAGCUGCUACUGGUGUUACCGAAAAACAACAGAGUAAACGACUACGAACUACAAUACUGCCAGAACAACUAAAUUUUUUAUAUGAAUGCUACCAAAAAGAAUCGAAUCCAAGUCGAAAAAUGCUUGAGGAAAUCGCAAAAAAAGUAAACCUUAAGAAACGCGUCGUGCAAUAAUAUAAUAUGUUCCAGUUGAUGAAGUGAUCUAAAAGCCUGAGCGUUGCUACGUAAACUUGCUGUUACUACUUAUUGCUGUAUUUAGAAAAUAUUUAGUUAAUCGCUAGGAUGCGAUUUUUAAGGUUUGGUUCCAAAACUCUCGUGCAAAAGACAAAAAAUCACGUAACCAACGCUUUGCCACAAUUUCUGAUGAUAGUAACUACGAGGACG